CGGCGGACGGGUGAGUAACGCGUGGGUAACCUACCCUGUACACACGAUAACAUACCGAAAGGUAAUGCUAAUACGGGAUAAUAUAUUUGAGAGGCAUCUCUUGAAUAUCAAAGGUGAGCCAGUACAGGAUGGACCCGCGUCUGAUUAGCUAGUUGGUAAGGUAACGGCUUACCAAGGCGACGAUCAGUAGCCGACCUGAGAGGGUGAUCGGCCACAUUGGAACUGAGACACGGUCCAA
Molecule: ribosomal RNA, 238 nt
Filed under: uncultured bacterium
Lineage: Bacteria
Description: partial 16S ribosomal RNA
Rfam family: Bacterial small subunit ribosomal RNA
Source: RNAcentral